AUUCUCGUUCUGGGUCCUUCUACAAGAAAAAAAAAAUCAGCCUUUGCUCUUCCCCGACCUCCAACGUUCCCUCUCGCAGCACGUCGCCGCCGCAGCGUCUCCGCCUCUACCCGCGUCUCCCCCUCCCCACUCAUCUACUCUCUUCUUGCUCUCUCUCAAUCUCUCCCGAUGGCCGCAGGGUGAGGGCGCCCAUGGCGCCGCACCGGCUAGGGCGGGCCCCAUCGCUAGUCGCGUGUGCGGUCGGAGCGCAACCCCGGCGUGCCACAGCUGGUGAGCGCACCCCCCGGCGCGAGCAGGUCCAAGCACUUUGGAUGCAGAUGCCCCGACGUAAGCAAGCCUCAUGUGGUGCCUCAGGCACGGGUGGCCGACGAGGACUCCGGUGCGAGUAGCCCCAGGUGAAGGUCCAUUGGAGCAUCAAGUUCAAUAGGGGGCUAGGUAGACAUCGAUAACAACAUCUGACAAAGGCUAGAAAAAACGUAUGGUGUUUGUUCUAAUGUGCUCAGAUCUAUCCAUCCCACCUUGCUGCUGGAUCCAUUCAUUCCCUCACCAGAGCUCUGUGUAAUAUGUGAGGCUUCCCUUUCUUCGUCUUCGUUGUGGCAUGAGUAUCCUCUCUGUUUUGGUACAUUUCCUUGGUCUAUUAUUAUUUAUGCAUUUUAGCUUUUCUUGUCUCAGAUACAUUUCUCAUGAUUUGUGCUAAGUGCAUUGACCCAUGCGCGAUUUGUGAAAAAAAUAUUCUCUGAUAGCGUACGAUCAAUAUUUCAUAAAGAAACAAUUCGUAGUAAUCUUGCAGCGCCUGAAUGACUUCUGUAUGAA
This is a long non-coding RNA of Sorghum bicolor (sorghum), 813 nucleotides long. RefSeq lists it as uncharacterized. The transcript is spliced from 4 exons. Lineage: Eukaryota; Viridiplantae; Streptophyta; Magnoliopsida; Poales; Poaceae. The record is from RefSeq and is a predicted model, not a curated record.